This 1278-nucleotide ribosomal RNA is filed under the name Triticum aestivum (bread wheat). RNAcentral's name for it is "partial small subunit ribosomal RNA". Lineage: Eukaryota; Viridiplantae; Streptophyta; Magnoliopsida; Poales; Poaceae. The record is from RNAcentral.
AUGUCGACCAAACGACGUGCUCGAGGGUGCAGCAGGGCCGCGACGGCGUCAGCGCCGGCGAGGGAACCCCUCCCGGUCGAUCUCCUGCUCGAGAUAGUCGUGUGCACCGACGGCAUAACCGUCGUCCGCUGCGCCGCCACCUGCAGGAUCCUCCGCCGCGCCAUCGUCGACCUGGCCUUCCGCCGCCCCCUCGCGCUCCUAUCUGCGACCGAUCGCCGCGGCUUCGACCCCUCCCUCCUCCUCGGUGUUUCCUUCCAGCGACGGCGUCACAUCCCUCGUGUGAUCCCCACCCCAACUCCACCCCAGAUCCACAUCCGCCCGGGCACCCACAGCCUCCCGGACUCGUUCGAGCCCCGGACGUCUCGCGACGGCCUGCUCCUCCUCUGCCGGUACCGGUCAGGCAACCUCCAGCUGCGCGUCUGCAACACCUUCACCGGAGACGUAACCUCUUUGCCCAAAAUCGACUUGUCCUACGCGCCCGUCUUCCUCAGCGUCGGCGACGCCGAUCAUGUUUUUUCUUUGGUUUGGCCCUCCCUGAUCUGUUUCAGCAGCACUCGGCCCCCUCAAUCCUUUUUUUCUGCCUCCGCCACUGCCUACGAGCUGCUCAUCUCCGGCAGGCACCUGCGGUUCCGGACCUUCUCCUCCAAGCAUGGCCAAUGGGGCAUCAUCCGCCAAGCCUCCGUCGCCGAGCACUACCAAAAGCCGAAACGGCUGUUUGUCUCCCGUCCCGCCGUCAUCGGCCGCACCGUCUUCUGGCUCUGCCUCCUGAAAAUCCAUGGGUACCAGUACCGCCCGGACGGCAUCGUAGCUCUGGACGUCGACGCGGCAGAGGCGACGACCAUGAACCUCCCGCCAGGCUGCACCUCCACAACCACAGGGAUCCUUCCUGACGAAGACAAGCACCUCCUCUUGGCCUCCGUGCGUGGCCGUCUGAGCUUGCUCGUCGCCAUGAGAUGUGGGAUAUCAAUGUGGACUUUCACGCCGGCCUCGUCGCCUGAGUCCACGGCGACGUGGAACUGGCGGCUGGUGAUCGGUAGGGUGGAGUUUGAGAAGCAGGUGGAUCUGGUCGGCUCGCCUCCUCCAUAUGUUAUUGAGGGGUUCGGAGAGAGGAGCGGCACAGUUGUCGUGCGGAGCAGCAACGAGCUCCUCCGGGUUGAUCUAGGAACCAAGGUUGUCACCAGGCUCCAUAGCUCGAGAAAUGCGUUGGUCACGUACCCGUUUUUGUUCUGGCACGAGGAAGAUCUGGUCUCUUUGCUUCAAGCCAUGACGUAUUUCUGA